RNAcentral lists this ribosomal RNA (301 nucleotides) under uncultured bacterium. Its description in RNAcentral is "partial 16S ribosomal RNA". It matches the Rfam family "Bacterial small subunit ribosomal RNA", at positions 509 to 807 of the family's 1533-position model. The record is from RNAcentral.
CAGCAGCCACGGUAAUACGAAGGGGGCUAGCGUUGUUCGGAAUCACUGGGCGUAAAGGGUGCGUAGGCGGGAUCUUAAGUCAGGGGUGAAAUCCCGAGGCUCAACCUCGGAACUGCCUUUGAUACUGGGGUCCUUGAGUCCGGAAGAGGUGAGUGGAACUGCGAGUGUAGAGGUGAAAUUCGUAGAUAUUCGCAAGAACACCGGUGGCGAAGGCGGCUCACUGGUCCGGAACUGACGCUGAGGCACGACAGCGUGGGGAGCAAACAGGAUUAGAUACCCCAGUAGUCCCUGUCUCUUAUAC